This 243-nucleotide long non-coding RNA is filed under the name Elaeis guineensis (African oil palm). RNAcentral's name for it is "long non-coding RNA (EGUI_LNC015507)". Lineage: Eukaryota; Viridiplantae; Streptophyta; Magnoliopsida; Arecales; Arecaceae. The record is from RNAcentral.
CUCCAUAAGUCCCACAGAGAGAGGGAGAGAGACAGAGAGAGGUACCAAGAUGCAUGCGGAUGGCGGCGGCUAUGCAGCGACAAUGAUGGCAGCAACCUAUAGGGUGGACUAUGAGAGAGAGAGAACCAUAGAGAGAGAGAUUGUACCUGAGAGAUCUUAAUAAAGAAGAAGAGAUUGCGGUUGGACGGACUUCAAAGAGGGACGGUGGUGGAGGUGGAGGCGAAGUGACGAUGACGAUGGCAG